CACAUAAGAUAAAAUCUACCGUUUGAACCAUUUCAAAGUGUACAAUUCAGUGGCAUUGAGUACUUUCACAGUAUUGUGUGACUGCCACCUCCAUGUAGUUCCGGAACAUUCUCAUCACCACCAAUCCCCAACAAUCACUAAUCUGCUUUCUGUCUCUUUGGAUUUGCCUAUUCUGGACAUCUCAUACACUGGAAUUGUACAAUAUGAAGUCUUUACUGAUGGGCUUUUUUCACUUAGCAUCAUGUUUUCAAGAUUUACCCAGGUUACAGCAGUGAAUCAGCCCACCACCCCCUUUUCACGGCCAAAUAAUAUUCCACCAUGCAGACAAACGGCAUUUUACUUUAUUUUCUAAUUUAGCAGUGAAACCUGGUGAGGCAAAGUGGUCGCAGACCCUGGUGACUGGCAGGAGGUACUGUGAGGUGUGUGGAUGACAAAGUCAGGACUGGUGCCCUGGGAAGCAGAGGGCUGUAUUUCACCUUGCAGACAGCACUCACCAGGUCACUUUUGCUUUGAAAACUUCCUCUGUGGAAACGGAAAAACAGUUGUCCAGGAGGAGGGGAAGACGACCCAAGGACGGGAAGGGAAACCCUCCCUGGGGCUGCAGAAGCUGCGUCUCAGUGGCACCAGCUUUCCAGGGUCAACCACGGCCUCCUUGAGGCUCUGUCUGGCCAGCAGAGGCUGGGGCUCGGACUGCACCGCGAUGGUCGCCACAAACACGCUCAGGUCUCGAGUCUCGGGUGACACUUGCUCAUGGCUUAUGAAGAAAGGGAAGCCUCCCUUUAGGCACAGGCAAUAGUCGCAAACUUCCAUUUAUAAACAAGGUGUGUUGAGCGGGAGGGCAAACAUUUCCACGUCCCAAACGUCGCACCUCAGCAGCUCCUUAACUAGUAGAUGCCCUCAGGUUUCCCCGAGCGGGUCUGGGGGCCGACCUGCGAGGAACGGCGGUCUCUCAGCGGCGUCCGUAAUCCCCGCAUCGCGCGCAGCCCGCGGUCAGGGCGCGGCGCGGCCCCGGGCGCAGGGCGGAGGGCGGGGCCUCAGCACACGGCCCGCCUCUGUCCCGCAGCCCUGUCGUCCCGGCGCGCGCACCGUGCGCGUGCCCCGGAUCUGGCGGCGGCGUGCGCGGGCCGCGCGUGCGCGCUGCGGCGGGGCGAGGGGCGGCGCGGGCGCGAGUCUGUCAGUGACAGCGGGAG
Bos taurus (domestic cattle) is the source of this 1190-nucleotide long non-coding RNA. Lineage: Eukaryota; Metazoa; Chordata; Mammalia; Artiodactyla; Bovidae. The record is from Ensembl.